This 420-nucleotide ribosomal RNA is filed under the name Enterobacter hormaechei. RNAcentral describes it as "bacterial SSU rRNA". It matches the Rfam family "Bacterial small subunit ribosomal RNA", at positions 931 to 1351 of the family's 1533-position model. The record is from RNAcentral. Lineage: Bacteria; Pseudomonadati; Pseudomonadota; Gammaproteobacteria; Enterobacterales; Enterobacteriaceae.
GGUGGAGCAUGUGGUUUAAUUCGAUGCAACGCGAAGAACCUUACCUACUCUUGACAUCCAGAGAACUUAGCAGAGAUGCUUUGGUGCCUUCGGGAACUCUGAGACAGGUGCUGCAUGGCUGUCGUCAGCUCGUGUUGUGAAAUGUUGGGUUAAGUCCCGCAACGAGCGCAACCCUUAUCCUUUGUUGCCAGCGGUUAGGCCGGGAACUCAAAGGAGACUGCCAGUGAUAAACUGGAGGAAGGUGGGGAUGACGUCAAGUCAUCAUGGCCCUUACGAGUAGGGCUACACACGUGCUACAAUGGCGCAUACAAAGAGAAGCGACCUCGCGAGAGCAAGCGGACCUCAUAAAGUGCGUCGUAGUCCGGAUUGGAGUCUGCAACUCGACUCCAUGAAGUCGGAAUCGCUAGUAAUCGUGGAUCA